This 279-nucleotide unclassified non-coding RNA is filed under the name plant metagenome. RNAcentral describes it as "partial contains small subunit ribosomal RNA, internal transcribed spacer 1, and 5.8S ribosomal RNA". The record is from RNAcentral.
UUUCCGUAGGUGAACCUGCGGAAGGAUCAUUAUUGUAUAACCCAGGCGCGAUGGCUGUGCCUGACCCGGAAGGUCGUGCACGUCCCAGCGCCCCCACACUCAUCCAUCUCACCCCUAUUUGCACCACUGCGUGGGUUAUCCUCUGCCUUGUUCGGAGGAGGGCUUACUUUUUCACACAUACUCUUUUUGUAGCGUAGUAUGUCUUUUUUCUUUUUGCGAUUUCGCAAUCACUACAAUUUUCAACAACGCAUCUCUUGACACUCGCAUCGAUGAAUAACG